This 2127-nucleotide long non-coding RNA is filed under the name Gadus morhua (Atlantic cod). RNAcentral's name for it is "lncRNA (ENSGMOG00000035945.1)". Lineage: Eukaryota; Metazoa; Chordata; Actinopteri; Gadiformes; Gadidae. The record is from RNAcentral.
GUACUUUGGCGUGCAGGGUCAUGAUAACUUUGCAUCAAACCGUCUUCCUGUCUUGCACAUGCGCAGUUCUUACACGUGUCUCACUAAGAAGAACUUGGCAAUGGAGGCGCCAGAGGAAGAGCAAGCGUAAAAGGCAGCCUACAAGAGAUCUUGGACGCGUGGAGAAAGCCAUGGCAGAAUUGCCAUCAGAUUUGAGUCAGCUGGAAAGAUCUGAACAGCACAGUAGCCAAACUGCGGCAGAGGAAGCAGCUGCAGUGAUGGGUCUGACUUUGAGUCAGACACAGUACACCACCCUACUAAAAGAGUAGCAGCUCAAGGUAAGGUUGUGUUGUCACAUUGCAUUACAUUUCCAUUUUAUGUCCUGCUGUCACUGUUUUUGAUUAUGUGCUAUUAAUGACGAGAGAAACCAGAAUGUUAUUAGUUGAUGUCUUUGUCAUUACAGGUUCUUCAGUAGCUCCAACAGCUAUUUCAUCUUUGAAGCGCAGCAAACAAGAAAACGUUGUCUGGAAGCUAAAGCUGGAGAAUGCAAAAGAAAAAAUUAAGUCCUUGGACAAUGAAAGGGACUUCUUAAGGAACCAACUAUCUGAGGCUUUGUCGCUUGCAAAUAAAGAGGACCAAGUGACAGCAGCGCCCUCCUUGUACGAAAAGAGUAUUGAAAAAUCCUCUUCAUCUUCCUCCUCCACCUCCGCCUCCUCCUCCUCAUCCUCCUCCGACAGUUCCUCCUCUUCCUCAUCAUCUUCUUCAGAAAGAGGGAAGAAGAAGAAGAGGAACAACAGCAACAACAAAAAAGACAGCAAGAAAAAAAAAAGGGAAGAAAGGAAACAAAAAGAACACCAAGAUAGGAAAGAGAGUCCUCACCCCAGAAGAGUCCAUGGAUUGCUACAGGCGCGUCUUUGUAGCAGUGAAAAAGGGCAUGACAAAAACGGAGGCAUACGUCAAAGUUGGGGUUGACCGAAAAACGGUGGCAGCAACGGCCGCCAUUUCGGAGCUACACGCUGUUGACAAGGACCUGUAUGACCAGCUGAGGGCAUCAAUGCCCAAGGGAGAGACACUUGAUCUAUUUUCGGCAAAAUGGAAUCUAGAAAUACUUGGCAGGAACCUUCAGGAUAAGGUGAAUGAAAUAAAAAGCAACGGGGAACUUUUGCAAAUUGGACACCGGGCAUAGUAAAGUAGUAGUAUAUAGUUUUUUGUUUCUGUUUGUGUUAUAAAUUGUUAAUAUUUUCUGUAUUACCACGUUAUUAUGUUAUUAUUAUGUUAGAAAUGUUUUACUAAAUUGGCUGUAGAUCCCUCAGUGUCAUCAACAGUGGUUUGGCGUUUUAUAACUAACCCUAAAGUGCUUCCCUACUGGUAAACAAAUGAUUCAAAAAGCUUCACUACUGGUAAACGAAUGAUUCCAAAAGCUUAACUACUGGUGAACGAAUGGUUCGCGAAAGAGUAACAACUCAGUAUGAUGCAUUACUUUACAUGAAGGUACACAAAAAGCUUUACUACUGGUAAACAAAUGAUUCAAAAAGCUUCACUACUGGUAAACGAAUGAUUCCAAAAGCUUAACUACUGGUGAACGGAUGGUUCGUGAAAGAGUAACGACUCAGUAUGAUGCAUUACUUUACAUGAAGGUACACAAAAAGCUUCACUACUGGUAAACAAAUGGUUGAAAAAGCUUAACUAUUGGUGUACGAAUGGUUCGCGAAAGAGUAACAACUCAGUAUGAUGCAUCACUUUACAUGAAGGUACACAAAAAGCUUCACUACUGGUAAACAAAUGGUUCAAAAAGCUUAACUACUGGUGAACGAAUGGUUCAAAAAGCUUAACUACUGGUGAACCAAUGGUUCUCGAAUGAGUAACAACUCAUCAGUCAGAUCCAGCUCCACCAGUCGAUCCAGUGUGGGACCCAAGCCAGCCCUCGACAGCGCUUGAAACCAAGGGCGGCAGGUUAAGCGUGCCCUGCAGCGGUGGACAAUUGCUUUUACGCCAUCAGCAUUACUAAUGCCACAUAAUAAACCUUAAAUGUGAAGAUUAAUGUAUAUACUGUGUGUAUGUAUUGUGAAUAUCUUUAUUAAAAUAUGACCAUCAUCCCGUCUGUGUCCUGUUCAUUUAAUAACUAAUUUUGAAAUCCCAGGAAAAUUC